AAUAGAUCUGCAUCAAACUUUGUUACGUAGCAAAAUCAGAUGGGCUACACGCUGCUGGGUGCCCCUCUUGCAUGAGAUGUGCUGGUGCUUGGCAUUGCAUCUGCAGAUUAGUAAGCAGUUAAGCUGGCCGACUUAUUUUGGGGGGAAAUGAUGUCGCUGCAAGUAUUUAGGUAGGAUUUUCGUGGAAUUUUUCCCUUUCUUUGCAGGAGGUGGACCAAUAAAUCUAUAACAAUUUUCUUCUAGGCGUCAACUCCCAUUCCUUCGCGGAAUUACCAGGGUCCCCGCGGAAGAGAUCGAUGGGAGUUGGGCCUCCUAAUUCUCCUUCCCCUUCCCUUGUUAAUUCCCAAGUCCAUGAACCAAUCAAGAGGUCCCAACCACCUUAAACUCCCAUUCCCUAGCUCCAACUCCCCCAAACAAACAGGCCGCGCGAGCAGCCCGGGAGGAGGGGAAAGUCGGGCUAUUACUGAAUGUUGAAACAGUGAUUUUGGCCACUUGUAUCGCUAUAUACCAGUCUAGCUAUACGUCGCACCUUCAUUUCCCCAUUCCUUCGUCGAGUCGUCGUCAUCGCCAUCGACGGGGCUUCUCCCCGGAAUCAGGUGGCGCGGCGCAGCUCGGCUGUCCUCUCCUCUCUCCUCCGGGUCGCCGCAGCCCACCGCCGAUACCAACCGGUUUGUGCGAUGGCGGUGCCGCGGCCGUCGUGGUCGCGGUCGGUCACAGAGACCGUGCGGGGAUCGCACCAGUACACGGUCAAGGGUUUCUCCCUCGCCAAGGGCAUCGGCCCCGGCCGGCACCUCUCCAGUGACACCUUCGCCGUCGGCGGCUACGACUGGGCCGUCUACCUCUACCCGGACGGAAAGAACCACGAGGACAACGCCAGCUACGUCUCCGUGUUCGUCGCCCUCGCCUCCGAGGGUACCGAUGUCCGCGCCCUCUUCGAGCUCACCCUCCUCGACCAGUCCGGCCGCGCCCGCCACAAGGUCCACUCCCAUUUCGACCGAUCCAUGCAGGCCGGACCAUACACCCUCAAGUACAGAGGAUCCAUGUGGGGUUACAAGAGAUUCUACAGAAGGACACAGUUAGAAGCAUCAGAUUUUUUAAAGGAUGAUUGCCUAGUAAUGAACUGCACAGUAGGUGUCGUCAAGAACCGUCUCGAAACACCAAAGAAUAUCCAGAUUAAUGUUCCCCCAUCGGAUAUUGGCCGUUGCUUCAAGGAGCUCUUCGAACUCCACAUUGGCUGUGACAUAACUUUUGAAGUAGGUGAUGAGAAAGUCCAGGCACAUAAAUGGAUUCUUGCCGCUCGCUCCCCGGUGUUCAAAGCCCAAUUCUUUGGACCUAUUGGUAAACCUGACAUGGACAGAGUUGUUGUGGAGGAUGUUGAACCUAUCGUCUUCAAGGCAAUGGUCAAUUUCAUAUAUUCUGAUGAGCUUCCUAGUAUUCAUGAAGUAGCUGGGUCUUUCUCAAUGUGGACAUCUACUGCGGUAACACAACAUCUGUUGGCAGCAGCUGAUAGAUAUGGGUUGGACCGGUUAAGAAUCCUAUGUGAGGCAAAGUUAUGUGAUGAACUCACUUCUGAAACAGUAGCGACAACCUUAGCCCUAGCUGAACAGCACCACUGUGCUCAGCUCAAGUCUGCCUGUCUAAAAUUCACUGCUGUUCGACAAAAUCUGGGAGCUGUGAUGGAGACAGAAGGGUUUAAUUACCUGGAGGAGACUUGCCCAUCCUUGCUGUCUGAUUUGUUAGCAACCGUUGCAGUAGUGGAUGAUGAUCCUGCAUCUGUUAACCGGAAAAGGGGAGUUUGUAUCAACGAAGAUGUGAAUCCCGUUGAAAGCGUUGAGGCUAGUGACAGGCGCACCCGCAGGAGGGUUUAGGCGGAGGCUGUCAACUAAUGUAGCUUUUUGCUGUCUCCCAUGAAUUUUACUAUGGCUGGAGUUAUGUCAAGUGCUCUGUGACAGGAACUUUGAUUUGGAUGAGAGCAACUUGUGAAUAAUCUCCAGCAUUGACGGCUUUCUGUGGCGUUAGUUGCAACUCUGCCUGUUCAUUGACAUAUUGUAUGCCGUAUUUAGGUACUCCCUCCGCAAAGAAAUAUAAGAGCGUUUAGAUCAUUAAAAUAGUGAUCUUUACGCUCUUAUAUUUCUUUAGGGAGGGAGUAAUAAGUAAUGCCGGAUUCCACUGCUUUCCAAGAUGGUUGUUUUCGAAAUGAAUGAAUCUAAUAAGGUAAGCUUCUAUACUAUGUACAAAUCGAUUUUCCUCCCUUUGGGGAUUUUUUGGGGCCUCCGGUUGGUUUUCCUCAGUUUGAUGUAUGUAAUUUGGGGACAUGGGUGCAUGGUGUUGAAGUGUAUACAUGUAUUGCAUAGCUUUUUUCAUCAGUUUGGACUUUUGGUUGCGUUGUUAGUGCAUGAAGCUUAACAUGAUAUUAGAGCUUAAGGUCUUAAGUUUAAGUUUCGUCUUUUGUAAUUUAUUUAAAGAUUGAUGUAUUUGUG
RNAcentral lists this ribosomal RNA (2480 nucleotides) under Triticum aestivum (bread wheat). RNAcentral's name for it is "partial small subunit ribosomal RNA". Lineage: Eukaryota; Viridiplantae; Streptophyta; Magnoliopsida; Poales; Poaceae. The record is from RNAcentral.